Molecule: long non-coding RNA, 903 nt
Organism: Drosophila miranda
Lineage: Eukaryota; Metazoa; Arthropoda; Insecta; Diptera; Drosophilidae
Exons: 2
Source: RefSeq, a predicted model, not a curated record
UUCAAUGAUGUAACCAUCAUGAUUUUUUGCGAAAAUCGUGACAAAAUUGAUGUCUCUUUUUCUGAUGCCAGUCGAUUGGCAGGACCCUCCCGAUAACGAAUAGACAUGUCACGCCCAGAUCGGCCGCUGUUUAGCCGAGAUAUAGAGUACAGCGAAAACCAGUAUUUAAAAGAUAUGCAAAUCCAAAUCUUCGCUUAGCUAUAUCUCUGACAAAUAAGGCCAGAUCGGUGAAGGACCAGCUGAGGAAGGACAUGUAAAGCCUUGCUUUGCUGGCUGGCUCUUGAUGACGCGGUGGUAUUCGAACGCCACAGCCGAAGACCCUGGGAUCCAGUUUUCUGUGUUCGAUGUGCGACAUGCUCGCUGUAUGAGCUGGCACAUCUAUGCACUGUAUGCAGGUCGCCCCCUCCCGCGUACACCGUCAUGCCCACCAUCGCUCAUCAGGGGCUUCUCCCUUCUGGUCUUCCGGUUCAUAUGAGCGAGGGUGCGCUCGAUGACGGCAGUCCACUCCAGGUGCCUGACCGGGUGACAUCGCGAGCUCCCCACCGGCUCCAGCGCACGGGGCCACGAUGCCCUCGGGACAUGAUUCAUGUCGCACGAGGCUGUGGGCCUUGGCCUGGGUAGAAUAAAUGCAGAAUCGUAUCCUGGCAGUACAGAAGCGCACACCUUGCAAGAUCCGAGCCGAAAGGCCAUCGUCAUCCUUCCACCUGGCCAUCGACCACAAGGACUUUGACUAUGACAACCAAGGGAGAGGCUACGCGGGCUACUAGACUGUAGAUAGAUAUCGUUGUUCUUAGGUUUAAGGAUAUACCCGUCCAUUUAUUUAAAUAGUAGAUACAAAUGUUUAAACUUAUUUAUUUAUUUAUACUAAGCUAAGUUUUGAUGAAUAAAACUUUUGAAAAAUUA